AAACCCACAUGUGGGCUCACUCCCUCUGAGCUCCAGUGCCAGAGUGGCAGCUUGAAGGGCACCAGUAGCAUACUGGCAGAGGCUGAAGUGUCUAGCACUGAGGCAAGAAGAUACUACUGUCCCUUUUCUGAGCCCACCCCCUACAGAGUCAUGGAGUCAGCAGGCUGAUACCAUAUUUGAGACUCCAUGAAUCUGGCUAACAUGGUUGACCCACCUUGG
Molecule: long non-coding RNA, 219 nt
Organism: Phyllostomus discolor (pale spear-nosed bat)
Lineage: Eukaryota; Metazoa; Chordata; Mammalia; Chiroptera; Phyllostomidae
Exons: 3
Source: RefSeq, a predicted model, not a curated record